RNAcentral lists this transfer RNA (72 nucleotides) under Aplysina cauliformis (row pore rope sponge). Its description in RNAcentral is "tRNA-Gly". It matches the Rfam family "tRNA". From Rfam's summary of the family: Transfer RNA (tRNA) molecules are approximately 80 nucleotides in length. The record is from RNAcentral. Lineage: Eukaryota; Metazoa; Porifera; Demospongiae; Verongiida; Aplysinidae. RNAcentral also lists the same sequence under 2 other names.
GUACACAUAGUUUAAUUGGUAAAAUAUUUGACUUCCAAUCAAUUGAUGCGGGCUCAAGUCCCGCUGUGUGCA